Molecule: transfer RNA, 75 nt
Filed under: Stieleria maiorica
Lineage: Bacteria; Pseudomonadati; Planctomycetota; Planctomycetia; Pirellulales; Pirellulaceae
Description: tRNA-Ala
Rfam family: tRNA
About the family: Transfer RNA (tRNA) molecules are approximately 80 nucleotides in length.
Source: RNAcentral
GGGGGUAUAGCUCAGUUGGGAGAGCGACGCGCUGGCAGCGCGUAGGUCGUCGGUUCAAGUCCGUCUACCUCCACC